This 468-nucleotide ribosomal RNA is filed under the name uncultured bacterium. RNAcentral's name for it is "partial 16S ribosomal RNA". It matches the Rfam family "Bacterial small subunit ribosomal RNA", at positions 28 to 507 of the family's 1533-position model. The record is from RNAcentral.
GACGAACGCUGGCGGCGUGCUUAACACAUGCAAGUCGAACGGAAAGGCCCUGCUUUUGUGGGGUGCUCGCGUGGCGAACGGGUGAGUAACCCGUGAGUAACCUGCCCUUGACUUUGGGAUAACUUCAGGAAACUGGGGCUAAUACCGGAUAGGAGCUCCUGCUGCAUUGUGGGGGUUAGAAAGUUUCGGCGGUUGGGGAUGGACUCGCGGCUCAUCAGCUUGUUGGUGGGGUAGUGGCUUACCAAGGCUUUGACGGGUAACCGGCCUGAGAGGGUGAACGGCCAUAUUGGGACUGAGAUUCGGCCCAGACUCCUACGGGAGGCAGCAGUGGGGGAUAUUGCACAAUGGGCGGAAGCCUGAUGCAGCAACGCCGCGUGCGGGAUAACGGCCUUCGGGUUGUAACCCGCUUUCGCCUGUGACGAAGCGUGAGUGACGGUAAUGGGUAAAGAAGCACCAGCUAACUACGUG